Molecule: RNA transcript, 3357 nt
Organism: Hevea brasiliensis (rubber tree)
Lineage: Eukaryota; Viridiplantae; Streptophyta; Magnoliopsida; Malpighiales; Euphorbiaceae
Exons: 15
Source: RefSeq, a predicted model, not a curated record
GCGUUUCUCCUUUUUUUUUUUUUUUUUUUUUUAAGCUUCUCAGAGGUGCCUGGUAUAGAAUUAUAGCGGAAAAACUGUCUGUUUCCCCUGUUCCAAAAUUUUCUUGGGAAAAUGACGGAAAAUUCCGAACUAUGAUCGUUUUCAUGUUGUGGAAAUGAGGGGAUCCUUUUGGGUGGACGAAUCUAAUCCCCCAUCUACCUCCAGCUCGCAUCCUCGCAUUCAUCCUCACCCUCCCUCUUCGCGCCGUCACAGUGGUAAUAAUGUGUUUCGACUGCUGGCACUAAGAGAGGUUUGCCCUCGAGCAAAGCAUGCCUCGAAAAAUUGGUUGGGUGAAUCCUCCGAUCAGCGUCUGGAUUCCCUUGAGCUUUUUUCUGAAUCAGCCCGAGAUGCCAGGCGCGCUCUCGUUUCAUGGGCGGAGGCAGAAUCUUUGCUGCAUUUAUCAGCCAAGUAUUGUCCGCUGUUGCCUCCUCCAAGAUCAACCAUAGCUGCAGCCUUCAGUUCUGAUGGGAAGGCCCUUGCUUCUACGCAUGGAGAUCAUACUGUAAAGAUUAUUGAUUGCCGAACUGGGAAAUGCUUAAAGGUCUUGAGUGGUCAUCGGAGGACACCUUGGGUAGUUAGAUUUCAUCCUUUAUGCCCAGAAAUACUAGCAAGCGGAAGUUUGGAUCAUGAAGUUCGUCUGUGGAAUGCAAAUGCUGCAGAGUGUAUAGGAUCUCGUGACUUCUACCGUCCAAUUGCUUCUAUUGCUUUUCAUGCUCAUGGGGAGCUUCUUGCUGUAGCUUCUGGUCACAAGCUAUACAUAUGGCAAUAUAACAAUAGAGGGGAGACAUCCUCACCAGCUAUUGUGCUGAAGACACGUCGUUCACUUCGUGCUGUGCAUUUUCACCCACAUGGUGCUCCAUUUCUCUUAACAGCAGAGGUAAAUGACCUCGAUUCAUCUGAUUCCUCAAUGACGCUCGCAACUUCUCCAGGGUAUCUGCGCUAUCCUCCUCCUACUGUAUAUUUGGCAGAUGCUCAUUCUGAUGGCCGCCUUGGCUUAGUGGAUGAACUGCCUUUAAUGUCCUUGCCCUUCCUUAUACAGCCUUCAUUUUCUAGAGAUGUUGGUAGAAUACCUCUGCAGCAAAAUGAUGGAGAUGUUGGUUCAAGUCGUGUGCAACAAAGACUUGAUCCUUUCACUUCCGUGCGGCUUCUGACAUAUUCAACUCCAUCAGGCCAGUAUGAACUUCUGCUGUCUCCGAUUGAACCUAAUAGCUCAUCUCCUGUACCAGAAGAAACUCGGACUGAUUCUUUAAUGGGUGACAUUGAUAACGAAGCUCCUCAAUUCGCAAUGGAUAUUGUUGAGACAGCAGAAGUGCAGACUGUAGAGAGAAAUAAUUCCACCUUACCCUUUGGUGAUAGACUGUACUGGGAAGUUCCUUUUUUGCAUGGGUGGUUAGUUGGCCAGAGCCAAACGGCGCGCCACACAAUGGGUUCACUUAGUGGCUUGGCUCAUGAAAAUUUAAGAGCAUUUGGUGGAACAGAAAAUCAUGCUUCAUCCCCUGUAAUUCCAAUCAGUAUUGGCCAAUCUAGGGGCAGUGAGAGAUCUGGUCUGCAUUAUCGAUCUUCUCGAUCCCAAACAUCAGCAACUGGGUCUGGUGUUGGUAGCAUGGGACGUAGUGAAAAUGAUGCUCUGCCUGUUGCUAGCAGAAUCCACUCUGAAUUUGCUACCUCUUUGGCUGCAGCUGCUGCCGAAGAAUUACCUUGCACUGUCAAGUUAAGAAUUUGGCCAUAUGAUGUAAAAGAUCCCUUUGCCCCUCUUGAUGCCAAGCGAUGUCGCCUAACCAUACCACAUGCUGUACUUUGCAGUGAAAUGGGUGCUCAUUUUUCACCUUGUGGGAGAUUUUUAGCAGCUUGUGUUGCAUGUUUGCUUCCUCAUCCGGAAGCUGAGCCUGGCUUACAAGGCCAGGUGCUUCAUGAUAAUGCCGGGGCUGCGACAUCCCCAACACGACAUCCAAUUUCAGCCCAUCAAGUUAUGUAUGAGCUUCGGAUAUAUUCCCUUGAGGAGGCAACGUUUGGCUUGGUGCUUGCAUCCCGGGCUAUAAGAGCUGCUCACUGUUUGACUUCAAUUCAGUUUUCUCCCACAUCAGAGCACUUACUGCUUGCCUAUGGUCGUCGGCACAGUUCACUACUUAAAAGCGUUGUCAUUGAUAGGGAGACAACAGUACCGAUUUACACUAUCCUUGAGGUCUACCGAGUUUCUGAUAUGAAACUUGUAAGAGUUCUUCCUAGUGCAGAAGAUGAGGUCAAUGUUGCAUGCUUUCAUCCCUCAAUUGGAGGUGGGCUUGUUUAUGGGACUAAGGAAGGGAAGCUUAGGAUCCUUCAAUAUGAUACUUCUCAUGGUACUAAUUAUACAUCCUCUAUUCUUGACGAGCGAAUGCUAGAGGUAGAAGCAAUGACAAAUGUCCCAACAUACGCUUUAGAAUGCUAAUCACUAGUGCUCAGGAGCCACAUGAGUUAUAACACUUAAAACAUUGUGAGUUAUAACACUUAAAUGUUAUGUUUCUGACUGAGGAAGAAUAUAUUGCAAGAUUCUCCCCACCACCCCUUUUCACCUUUGCAUCAUUUGGUUUUCGUUAUGUCUGCAAAAACUUGUAGUAGUAGACAGUGGCAGAUCCACCUUCAAAAUGGAAGGGUCAAUUGACCCCCCUUUUCAUUAAAACAUUCCAUAUGUAUACACAUAUGUUUAAAUUGACCUCUCGUAAAUUUAAUUGUUAAACCUUUUUUUGAUAAAUAUUAAAGUAAAUUGCUCAUUUGUCAUGUUGACCUUAGAAAAUUUUUUUUCUAAAUCUGCCACUGGUAGUAGAUCUGUGAAGUGUUCCUCAUUAUAAUAUUGGUGUCCUGGUGCUAUAUAAUAUAGGUGCAUUAUUUGCACUAGUUAAGAGGCUUUUGAUCUAUUUACUUCUGCAAGCUACUUGUUUCUUAGGUUGGAAAAUCUUUGGAUAUUUGUUAUGUCUAGAAGGAUUUGAAAUGUUCUUAAUUUUGGUAAAUGUAAUCCAUGAUGACUGGUUUGAUUUUUAGAGAGAGCUGAUUAUAAACUCUAUCAAUGAUCUCUCACUCACACACACACACACACACACACACACACACACACACACACACAGGGUGAGAUGGUCUGUCAUAAAAUACUGCAUUGAGGUGUCGAGUGACUGUUUCAAGCAACCUAGAUUUCUUGACCAGCCAUUGGACGAUUGGUUCAAAUUUUGCAUAAUGAAAAAAGGGCAAUUAAAGGGCCUAUUGUACAAAAUUCUCCCUACUCUAUGAGGAUUUUAAUUAUUCAUUCAUCCAUAUGAAGUAGUACGUGUGUGGUAAAAGUUAAAAUUA